Molecule: ribosomal RNA, 466 nt
Filed under: uncultured bacterium
Lineage: Bacteria
Description: bacterial SSU rRNA
Rfam family: Bacterial small subunit ribosomal RNA
Source: RNAcentral
CCUACGGGAGGCAGCAGUCGAGAAUAAUUCACAAUGGGGGCAACCCUGAUGGUGCAACGCCGCGUGGAGGAUGAAGGUCUUCGGAUUGUAAACUCCUGUCAUCCGGGAGUAAGACCUGACGGUGAAUAGCCGGCAGGGUUGAUAGUACCGGAAGAGGAAGGGACGGCUAACUUCGUGCCAGCAGCCGCGGUAAUACGAAGGUCCCGAGCGUUGUUCGGAAUCACUGGGCGUAAAGGGAGCGUAGGCGGCGUGGUAAGUCAGAUGUGAAAUCCCGGGGCUCAACCCCGGAACUGCAUCCGAUACUGCCGUGCUUUGAGGGUUGGAGAGGUAGCUGGAAUUCUUGGUGUAGCAGUGAAAUGCGUGGAUAUCAAGAGGAACACUCGUGGCGAAAGCGAGCUACUGGACAACACCUGACGCUGAGGCUCGAAGGCCAGGGGAGCGAAAGGGAUUAGAUACCCUGGUAGUC